RNAcentral lists this ribosomal RNA (372 nucleotides) under uncultured eukaryote. RNAcentral's name for it is "partial 18S ribosomal RNA". It matches the Rfam family "Eukaryotic small subunit ribosomal RNA", at positions 592 to 976 of the family's 1831-position model. The record is from RNAcentral.
CAAUAGCGUAUAUUAAAGUUGUUGCAGUUAAAAAGCUCGUAGUUGGACUUGUGGUGGUCUUUGGGGUCCGAUUUCGGUACUCUCGGGGACUGCCAUCUUUGGGUGGAUCCUGUGUGGCAUUAGGUUGUCGUGCAGGGGAUGCCCAUCGUUUACUGUGAAAAAAUUAGAGUGUUCAAAGCAGGCUUAUGCCGUUGAAUAUAUUAGCAUGGAAUAAUGAGAUAGGACCUUGGUACUAUUUUGUUGGUUUGCGCACCGAGGUAAUGAUUAAUAGGGACAGUUGUGGGUAUUCGUAUUCCAUUGUCAGAGGUGAAAUUCUUGGAUUUCUGGAAGACGAACUAAUGCGAAAGUAUUUACCAAGGAUGUUUUCAUUAA